Long non-coding RNA from Aquila chrysaetos chrysaetos, 681 nucleotides. RefSeq lists it as uncharacterized. The transcript is spliced from 2 exons. NCBI's taxonomy places the organism in Eukaryota, Metazoa, Chordata, Aves, Accipitriformes, Accipitridae. The record is from RefSeq and is a predicted model, not a curated record.
CACCCUGUGUCUGUUCAGGAAGGCUGGAGCCAGCUCAGAGUACAGCUGGUGCUACAAGCUCAGCCUUUUCCCAUCUUCUGUACCAGUGCAAACGGAGCAACUAUGGAUGUUUGCAGCCGACAAGACAAAACACAUUAAAAAGAUGUUCUCGUGAUCCUGCAGACAUUGCAGGUGAUCUCUUUGCUUCAGGCUGGCUGCUGUCUCUGACCACUCUGCCAGGUAAAUACAGGUGAGCGUCAAAGUCCAGAACAGCGUGUGGUGAACAAUGAAGAGCUGUUGUUUUCUUCUGUCACUUUGUAUUCACAAAUAGCAAGUUGUAUUGUAAAGACUGAGAAAUACACCUAAGUAUGUCCAGGGAGCGAUUAGCAUUCUAGAUAGACAAUACAGAUCUCUUUGCACAUCUUCACAGCAGUGCUGUCUGCCCUGCCUGUGAGCGUGGGGAUUCCAGUGAUGCCGAUGUUGAAUUUUCCAGAAGGGACUGGGAAUAAAGACACGGGACAGGUUUGACAAGGCAAGUGCACUUCUACUGUUUCCAUAUGAGCUCAGUAAGAUAGCUGCUGCAGAUCUAAAAGGUUCUUAAGUCACCACUUCUUCAGGUCGGUUACAUACACUCCCAAGAAAAGAAAAAAUUGGCAUUCAAAACAAUUUGCAUCCAAAGAAAUCAAAGUGAAUGUCAUCAUC